RNAcentral lists this ribosomal RNA (480 nucleotides) under uncultured bacterium. Its description in RNAcentral is "bacterial SSU rRNA". It matches the Rfam family "Bacterial small subunit ribosomal RNA", at positions 30 to 502 of the family's 1533-position model. The record is from RNAcentral.
UGAACGCUAGCGGCAGGCUUAAUACAUGCAAGUCGUGGGGCAGCAGGGUUGUAGCAAUACAAUCGCUGGCGACCGGCAAACGGGUGCGUAACACGUACGCAACCUUCCCGUUACUGUGGCAUAGCCCAGGGAAACUUGGAUUAAUACCACAUAUUAUAUUGGUGAGGCAUCUCACUGAUAUCAAAGCUUCGGCGGUAACGGAUGGGCGUGCGGUUGAUUAGAUAGUUGGCGGGGUAACGGCCCACCAAGUCUACGAUCAAUAGCUGAUGUGAGAGCAUGAUCAGCCACACGGGCACUGAGACACGGGCCCGACUCCUACGGGAGGCAGCAGUAAGGAAUAUUGGGCAAUGGACGAAAGUCUGACCCAGCCAUGCCGCGUGAAGGAUGAAGGUCCUCUGGAUUGUAAACUUCUUUUAUCUGGGGCGAAAAUCACCUUUCUAGGGUGCUUGACAGUACCGGAGGAAUAAGCACCGGCUAACU